GGCGGAGAAGAGUCUGGGCCAGGGUUUGGCGGCGGCGGAUGUGUUCUGCAGAUCGAUGAUUUCAUUCUAGUUUCCUCGGUCCUUUCCAGUUCUUCGAUUCUCUUUUUGUUGUUUGAGGCGUGGUGAUGGCUCCUAAACGACGACGUGCCUUGGGAGAGUCUAGUUCCCGUGGUUCUCCGGAUUUAGCAUCUGCUACUCGCACAGUGAAGAGGCGUCGUUCUUGUCGAGUGGCUGCCGAGAGAUCGAGGAAAGUGGACUUGAUUGAUGAGUCUGAUGAGGAUGGGGAUGGGAAGCAUAUUAAGUCAAGAUGGUCUACUGCUCGUGUCGCUAGAUUAUCAAAAAUCUGAUUCCUGUUCAGAAGGGUUUCAUUGAGAAACAUGUAUUUGGAUUUCUGUUUGGUAUCAAGAGUUUCAGAGUCCCAGUUCAAUUUAUUGAGUGGGUUAUGUCUAAUACUUAUGCUACUUCAUAUGAGUUCAUGCUGAAAAACAAGACAAUUAGAUUUACUAAGGAAAUGGUUGUCAAAGUUCUUGGUAUUCCAUAUGGAACUAUGCAAGUAGAAGUUGAUAGUUCUGAUUUUGAGGUAGAGGCACUUGUCGAACAGUUCAAAUCUGAAUAGAAGGAUGGCAAAUCAUAUCCAAUAAGCAAGUGCAUUCAAUUGAUGAGUCAGGAAGAAGAUGAAACAACAUUUAUGAGGCGCUUUAUGCUUUUCUUGAUAUCCACCAUUCUUAUGCCUAGCAAAUCUAAUACCUUAUGUGUUGAGUAUUUGUACUCCUUGGUUGAUCUUGAGCUGUUACCAAAACUGGACUGGGCUGAUGAAAUCUUGCAUGUCAUUAUGCAUGAAGUACACCGCUUUCACCAGUUGAGGGAUAGUCUUGGAAAUGCUGUUGCUUUGAAACACUUUUAUAUGGAGGGAUGUUUACCAUUGCUGGCUGUAA
Molecule: long non-coding RNA, 935 nt
Organism: Panicum virgatum (switchgrass)
Lineage: Eukaryota; Viridiplantae; Streptophyta; Magnoliopsida; Poales; Poaceae
Exons: 3
Source: RefSeq, a predicted model, not a curated record